This 201-nucleotide long non-coding RNA is filed under the name Lathyrus oleraceus (garden pea). RNAcentral's name for it is "Pisum sativum (pea) long non-coding RNA (PSAT_LNC022212)". The record is from RNAcentral. Lineage: Eukaryota; Viridiplantae; Streptophyta; Magnoliopsida; Fabales; Fabaceae.
AAAUAAAUUAAAAAGGAAAAAUAUUAAAAAUCAAAAUAUUGGUUCACAAAAUCAAAAUAUUGAUUCACAAGAUCAUCAAAUUUCAAUGGUGGAUUUUAUUUUAGUAUUGAACCUGACAUAGCUUAGAAUUGGAAUUGCUUUUGGUUGGAAACGCAUUUCAUGCUCGUUUUCUUUGAUAACCUUGAUUUGGUGUCUUGGAAA